CCACGAACUGCAAGAUCAUGACCUGAGCCGAAGUCAGACGCUUAACAGACUGAUCCACCCAGUAAGGGAAGGUCGAAGUUUGGAUCAAACAAUGGAAAUGGAAAAGAGGAAUUCUUACCAAAUCUGCAACCAGAAGCCGCAGACAGAGCCCCGCCUGCUGCCGUGAUGAGGGGACAUUCACGACACUGGUCCCCAGGAAGUGACCUUUUGUGCCGGCCCUUUGCAGAUGGCCGCUGGCAGUCCCAUGCUCUGGAUGGCGAGGACAGUGAUGGAUGAGCACCAGCUCCCAGGACCCACUGCCAGAACCCCCAGAGGUGCCGUCUCACAUGCUGAUUAGCUAGACAAGUUUCCAGCUCCAGGAAGACCCUCCUGCCCAACUAGCCCCAUAUACACAGUUAGCACUGACUGAGAGAUAAAUACACAUCAGUCCCGUCGUCAGGCACCAUGGGUCUAGUCGGUGGAGGGAGAUUGUGCAGUUGAGGCAGUAGGGCCCACGGCGCAAGUCAGCACAGGCUCUGAGCGGUGGGGGCUGUGGGGUGGAGUCGUCAGUUCUGCCUUUGGUGGAAGCGGAGGCUCAGAAAAGUUACCCGGAAGUGACUUUUGGGUCGAAUUAUGAGAAAGGAGUUGAGAAACACCAGGCCCCAAGACGAAGGAGCGAUGAUGGCCCUGGACCAUGGGCAUGAAGCAGGUGCUGCCUUCAGGGGGCCUGUCAAUAGCUUAGUGUGGUUGGAUAGUGGUAGCAUCUGCGUAUGUGUGUGUGUGGGGGGGGGGCCUUCAUCAGGGAUCGUGACGGGUGGGGAGCAGACAGACAGCAACAGGAGGCGGGAUCACGGGGGGGGGGUUCAGUGCCACAGCAAACAAUUCAGAUUCUAUUCUAGUGACCCUGGCAAGCUAGUUGAUGGCCUUUCAACUUUGUAAAACGUUUUUCACUUGACGUAAUUUUGGACUUCCGAGAGAGUUGCAAAGAUAGCACUCAGUUCCCGCACACCCCUCCUCUGACUCCGUCUAAUGUCCACAUCUGUGUGAGGCUGGCACACACGACAAAGACAUUAACCCUGGUCUGGUAUUAUUAGCUCAGCUACAGAUGAGUCAGAUUUCAUCAGGUUCACACGUAUGUCCUUUUCUGUAGCGGGAUCCCGUGAGGGGCUCAUGACCUUUUCGUCCUCGUGCUCCCCCGUCCUUCAUAACUUGUUCAUCUCCCUGACGUGUUUGGAGACUAUUGGUCAGGUAUUUCAUAAAAUGGCUUUCCCUCCCCUCCCCUCCCCUCCCCUCCCCUCUCCUCUCCUUCCUUCUUUCAUUUUUGAGCACUUUCUUACCUCAUGGCACCACAAAGUGCUCCAGACUCACGUCGCGUUGUGCUUCCUUUGCCCCUCGCUAACUUUGCUUUCUGAGCAGUGAGUGGCAUGACUGAAAUCCCCUGACGUGACAAGAUCCGUGUUGAAAAGAUCCCCUAUGCAGAGGAUGGACGGGUGUGGAAAGGUGCGACUGUGGCACUGAUCGGGCUGGAGAUGAAGAAGCUGAGGCCAAGUCAGCGGCAUCAAGGGAGGAGGAACCGGGGGUGCUGGGGAGGAGGGGAGGAGGUGGCUGUAUGUGACGAACAGGUUUCUGUGAUGAUGGGUGGACGCGUGGUUGGUUCCUGGGACAGGAAACACGGGAAGGGGUUUGGCUUUGCUCUUUUGGCUUCCAGUGGCAGUGUCACCACACCCGUUUUCGGUGCUCUUCUUCUGGGCUCUUUCUGUGUUGUCUCCUUGGUUCUCGGGAUCUUCUCCUUUCUUAGCACAACUUCCCUGAGUUGCCUCACUUCUUGCAACUGGGAUACUCACGGCUCACGUAGCCCUUUGUGCCUGAGAUUUGCAAGGAUGACCUCCUUUCUUGCCCUGCCAGGCACCGUUGUAGACAACGGGAGGCAACUGUCACGGCCAGCUAACCGCUCUCCUGAAGCUGGCAAUUCUAGGACACGUAAUAAACAAGUGAACCAAUGAACAGCCCAGAGCAUUCUAGCUAGUGGAAUAAGCGUGAUGCCGGGCACACAGUGAAGUAAUCUGAAGGAAAGGGACUGAGGAUGGGAGAGGGCUAACCUUGACUGAGAGGUCACUGCAAGUCCCGUUAAAGAGGGGCAUUUGAGCCAAGAUCUGCAGGGAAGAGCCAGCCAUAUAACUAUCCAAGGAGAGAACAUUUCAGACAAGGGACUGGCUCGUGCGCAGCCCCCAAGAAGAAGGUGCACAUUAUAGGAACAGAGAGAAAAUCCACGUGGCUGAAAAAUGGUGGACCGGGUGGGAGACAGCAGGUGAGAUCAGAUGGGAGACAUUGCAGGUGGACUGGUUGGCCGUAGGAGGAUGACGAGUUAUAUUUGAGGGGGAGGAGAAAGCCAUCGAAGACUUCCUCGAGGAAUAACCUGAUCUGAUCUAUGCUUUUAAAAAUUCUCUCUAGGGGCGCCUGGGUGGCUCAUUCGGUUAAGCGUCCAACUUCAGCUCAGGUCACGAUCUCGCGGUCCGUGAGUUC
Felis catus (domestic cat) is the source of this 2502-nucleotide long non-coding RNA. RefSeq lists it as uncharacterized. The transcript is spliced from 3 exons. The record is from RefSeq and is a predicted model, not a curated record. NCBI's taxonomy places the organism in Eukaryota, Metazoa, Chordata, Mammalia, Carnivora, Felidae.